This 259-nucleotide long non-coding RNA is filed under the name Elaeis guineensis (African oil palm). RNAcentral describes it as "long non-coding RNA (EGUI_LNC014285)". The record is from RNAcentral. Lineage: Eukaryota; Viridiplantae; Streptophyta; Magnoliopsida; Arecales; Arecaceae.
UGGGGUUCAUCAUAAUCUUAGACAUAAUACGAUGUAGCUAAAAUGAUGAAUCAAUACUUCAUGUUAUUAUCAAAUAAUAAAUAUCAUUAUAUGAGUUGAAAAAUUAUAAAAAAAAUUUUUCAUCGCAACAUACUUACAAUUAGCUCUUAAGGCACUCUUCUUUUAAUCUCCCACUUACACUAAAGCCAAUCACCUUUGUAUUUCAAUUCCAUACAAUCAAGAUGGCGAUCAAAUAGCUGCUGUGGUAUGGCCUUAGUGA